This 1536-nucleotide ribosomal RNA is filed under the name Alcaligenes faecalis. RNAcentral's name for it is "bacterial SSU rRNA". It matches the Rfam family "Bacterial small subunit ribosomal RNA". Lineage: Bacteria; Pseudomonadati; Pseudomonadota; Betaproteobacteria; Burkholderiales; Alcaligenaceae. The record is from RNAcentral.
AUUAGAGUUUGAUCCUGGCUCAGAUUGAACGCUAGCGGGAUGCUUUACACAUGCAAGUCGAACGGCAGCGCGAGAGAGCUUGCUCUCUUGGCGGCGAGUGGCGGACGGGUGAGUAAUAUAUCGGAACGUGCCCAGUAGCGGGGGAUAACUACUCGAAAGAGUGGCUAAUACCGCAUACGCCCUACGGGGGAAAGGGGGGGAUCGCAAGACCUCUCACUAUUGGAGCGGCCGAUAUCGGAUUAGCUAGUUGGUGGGGUAAAGGCUCACCAAGGCAACGAUCCGUAGCUGGUUUGAGAGGACGACCAGCCACACUGGGACUGAGACACGGCCCAGACUCCUACGGGAGGCAGCAGUGGGGAAUUUUGGACAAUGGGGGAAACCCUGAUCCAGCCAUCCCGCGUGUAUGAUGAAGGCCUUCGGGUUGUAAAGUACUUUUGGCAGAGAAGAAAAGGUACCUCCUAAUACGAGGUACUGCUGACGGUAUCUGCAGAAUAAGCACCGGCUAACUACGUGCCAGCAGCCGCGGUAAUACGUAGGGUGCAAGCGUUAAUCGGAAUUACUGGGCGUAAAGCGUGUGUAGGCGGUUCGGAAAGAAAGAUGUGAAAUCCCAGGGCUCAACCUUGGAACUGCAUUUUUAACUGCCGAGCUAGAGUAUGUCAGAGGGGGGUAGAAUUCCACGUGUAGCAGUGAAAUGCGUAGAUAUGUGGAGGAAUACCGAUGGCGAAGGCAGCCCCCUGGGAUAAUACUGACGCUCAGACACGAAAGCGUGGGGAGCAAACAGGAUUAGAUACCCUGGUAGUCCACGCCCUAAACGAUGUCAACUAGCUGUUGGGGCCGUUAGGCCUUAGUAGCGCAGCUAACGCGUGAAGUUGACCGCCUGGGGAGUACGGUCGCAAGAUUAAAACUCAAAGGAAUUGACGGGGACCCGCACAAGCGGUGGAUGAUGUGGAUUAAUUCGAUGCAACGCGAAAAACCUUACCUACCCUUGACAUGUCUGGAAAGCCGAAGAGAUUUGGCCGUGCUCGCAAGAGAACCGGAACACAGGUGCUGCAUGGCUGUCGUCAGCUCGUGUCGUGAGAUGUUGGGUUAAGUCCCGCAACGAGCGCAACCCUUGUCAUUAGUUGCUACGCAAGAGCACUCUAAUGAGACUGCCGGUGACAAACCGGAGGAAGGUGGGGAUGACGUCAAGUCCUCAUGGCCCUUAUGGGUAGGGCUUCACACGUCAUACAAUGGUCGGGACAGAGGGUCGCCAACCCGCGAGGGGGAGCCAAUCUCAGAAACCCGAUCGUAGUCCGGAUCGCAGUCUGCAACUCGACUGCGUGAAGUCGGAAUCGCUAGUAAUCGCGGAUCAGAAUGUCGCGGUGAAUACGUUCCCGGGUCUUGUACACACCGCCCGUCACACCAUGGGAGUGGGUUUCACCAGAAGUAGGUAGCCUAACCGUAAGGAGGGCGCUUACCACGGUGGGAUUCAUGACUGGGGUGAAGUCGUAACAAGGUAGCCGUAUCGGAAGGUGCGGCUGGAUCACCUCCUUAAUC